CGCCCACUAGCUAGCCCCCCUAAAAACUACUGUAAAAACAAAAUUACCUCAUAUAACCCCUAAUAUAUCUACACCCACUUAUUUAAACCAUUUUCCCCCCUUAGUAUGGGCGACAGAAAAGGAACCACGGAGCAAUAGCGUAAAGUACCGCAAGGGAACGCUGAAAAAGAUUUGAAACAGCCCAAAUAAGCCUAAAAAAGCAGAGAUCUAAGCUCGUACCUUUUGCAUCAUGAUUUAGCCAGUAACCUUCGAGCAAAAAGCCUUUUAGUUCGAAUCCCCGAAACUGAGUGAGCUACUCCAAGACAGCCUACCUAUAGGGCAAACCCGUCUCUGUGGCAAAAGAGUGGGAAGAGCUUAGAGUAGAGGUGAAAGACCUAUCGAACUCAGCUAUAGCUGGUUGCCUGAGAAGUGGAUAAAAGUUCAGCCUCCCAGCUUCUCCCCUCACGUUAAGCCCUACCCCCACAGACCCCUGAGAAACUAGGAGAGUUAGUCAAAGGAGGUACAGCCCCUUUGACAUAAGACACAACUUUACCAGGCGGGUAAAGAUCAUAUUUAAAACCAAGGCAAAACAUUCUAGUUGGCCCAAAAGCAGCCACCCUUAUAGAAAGCGUUAAAGCUCAGACACUUGCCCCCCCCCCAAAUACUGAUAACACAAUCUAAACCCCCUGCCCCCCUACCAGGCUGCCCAAUGUACCCAUUGGGGUAACCCUGCUAAUAUGAGUAAUAAGAGAGGCCCCGCCUCUCUCCCUACACACGUGUAAAUCGGAUGGACCCACCACCGAACACUUUAACGGCCCCUAAUAAAGAGGGAAAUGAAAAACCAAAAAAAUAACUAGAAAAACCCCCAGUACCCGAACCGUUAACCCCACACUGGUGUGUUUCCCGGGAAAGACUAAAAGAAAGAGAAGGAACUCGGCAAAUACACUUAAGCCCCGCCUGUUUACCAAAAACAUCGCCUCUUGCAACCCCAAAGAAUAAGAGGUCCUGCCUGCCCAGUGACCCCGUGGUUCAACGGCCGCGGUAUAUUGACCGUGCGAAGGUAGCGUAAUCACUUGUCUUUUAAAUGAAGACCCGUAUGAAUGGCUUAACGAGGGCUUAACUGUCUCCUCUCUCCAGUCAAUGAAACUGAUCUCCCCGUGCAGAAGCGGGGAUAACUACAUAAGACGAGAAGACCCUAUGGAGCUUUAGGCACCAAGACAGACCCUGCUAAUUAUCCUCUGAUAACUGGACCCAAGUGAACACUGCCUUAUGCCUUUGGUUGGGGCGACCAUGGGGUAACAAAUAACCCCCACGCGGAAAAAGAGCUCGCAUCCCACGCUUUCACCACCCACCUCUCAAAACUAAGAGCUACUGCUCUAAGUAACAGAACCUCUGACCGAAAAUGACCCAGCAAUGCUGAUCAACGGACCGAGUUACCCUAGGGAUAACAGCGCAAUCCCCUCCUAGAGUCCAUAUCGACAAGGGGGUUUACGACCUCGAUGUUGGAUCAGGACAUCCUAAUGGUGCAGCCGCUAUUAAGGGUUCGUUUGUUCAACGAUUAAAGUCCUACGUGAUCUGAGUUCAGACCGGAGUAAUCCAGGUCAGUUUCUAUCUAUGAAAUAAUCUUUUCUAGUACGAAAGGACCGAAAAGAAGAGGCCAAUGCUUAAAGUACGCCUCACCCCCACCUAAUGAAGUCAUCUAAACUAGGUAAAGGGGUAUAACC
RNAcentral lists this ribosomal RNA (1703 nucleotides) under Lepidoblepharon ophthalmolepis. RNAcentral's name for it is "16S rRNA". The stretch from base 115 to 1612 matches the Rfam family "Bacterial large subunit ribosomal RNA". Lineage: Eukaryota; Metazoa; Chordata; Actinopteri; Pleuronectiformes; Citharidae. The record is from RNAcentral.